UAAUACGAAGGGGGCUAGCGUUGUUCGGAAUUACUGGGCGUAAAGCGCACGUAGGCGGACUAUUAAGUCAGGGGUGAAAUCCCGGAGCUCAACUCCGGAACUGCCUUUGAUACUGGUAGUCUAGAGACCGAGAGAGGUAAGUGGAACUCCUAGUGUAGAGGUGGAAUUCGUAGAUAUUAGGAAGAACACCAGUGGCGAAGGCGGCUUACUGGCUCGGAACUGACGCUGAGGUGCGAAAGCGUGGGGAGCAAACAGG
Molecule: ribosomal RNA, 256 nt
Filed under: uncultured bacterium
Lineage: Bacteria
Description: partial 16S ribosomal RNA
Rfam family: Bacterial small subunit ribosomal RNA
Source: RNAcentral